This is a long non-coding RNA of Brienomyrus brachyistius, 757 nucleotides long. RefSeq lists it as uncharacterized. The record is from RefSeq and is a predicted model, not a curated record. The transcript has 3 exons. NCBI's taxonomy places the organism in Eukaryota, Metazoa, Chordata, Actinopteri, Osteoglossiformes, Mormyridae.
GGCGCCCGCGGACCUGCAGUGGGCGCAACAGAGCCCGUGUCACCCGGGCAACGGGAAUGUCCCGUGACGGGCGACCUCAGUCUAACUGCCUGCAAAAUGUGCUAAUCAGUGGAAAUGGAAUUAGAUAGAUGAUACUUUAAAGAUUUCAAAUAACAUAGUUCAUAUGUUUGUCAUUUAGUUCCUAGUUAAAAUUCUUCAAGAAAGAGUACAUAUAACUAAGUUUUGAUAAUAGUUUUAAGGCCAGCGGUGCAAGGGCUCUACAUAAGGUUUGACGUGACAUAAAGACGAUAUUAUUCGUUAUACAACACAGCUGCAGGAUGUCACACACGCUUUGAAUAAUUACUGUCAUGCAAACAUCGGGAACUGCGGAUAAAACGUGGCGGUUAAGAACCGCUUACAUUUCAUCGCAUAUGUCCCAGGGAUCCGUCAAGGCGUUUCAUCUCCGGGAAUUAGCGGAACCUGGAAAAGCUAUUGACGACGAUCACUGGAGAGUAACGCAACACAGCGUCAACCAAAAUACAAAGCGCAGCCUGUAUCUACCCAGGAGCCGGACAUCGGUCACACUCCGCUGAAACGUGUAACAUACUGCCACCUACUGGCGCCUGAUAGAAUACUUUGACAGCCUUGUAAAUACUGUAUUCAUUACAAUGCAACUGCAAAGAAGGGUUUAAACCUGGCUGAAGACCACGAGAACAAACCACCCUGUAGCAACUAAUAAUGUAACGACUCCAAAUAAUAACGUUAUUAGUUCAGAAAA